Molecule: ribosomal RNA, 478 nt
Filed under: uncultured bacterium
Lineage: Bacteria
Description: partial 16S ribosomal RNA
Rfam family: Bacterial small subunit ribosomal RNA
Source: RNAcentral
UAGGGAAUCUUCCACAAUGGGCGCAAGCCUGAUGGAGCAACACCGCGUGAGUGAAGAAGGGUUUCGGCUCGUAAAGCUCUGUUGUUAAAGAAGAACACAUAUGAGAGUAACUGUUCAUACGUUGACGGUAUUUAACCAGAAAGUCACGGCUAACUACGUGCCAGCAGCCGCGGUAAUACGUAGGUGGCAAGCGUUAUCCGGAUUUAUUGGGCGUAAAGAGAGUGCAGGCGGUUUUCUAAGUCUGAUGUGAAAGCCUUCGGCUUAACCGGAGAAGUGCAUCGGAAACUGGAUAACUUGAGUGCAGAAGAGGGUAGUGGAACUCCAUGUGUAGCGGUGGAAUGCGUAGAUAUAUGGAAGAACACCAGUGGCGAAGGCGGCUACCUGGUCUGCAACUGACGCUGAGACUCGAAAGCAUGGGUAGCGAACAGGAUUAGAUACCCUUGGUAGUCCAUGCCGUAAACGAUGAGUGCUAGGUGUU